This 113-nucleotide ribosomal RNA is filed under the name Caerostris darwini. The record is from RNAcentral. Lineage: Eukaryota; Metazoa; Arthropoda; Arachnida; Araneae; Araneidae.
AACGGCCGUACCAUGCUGAAUAUACCGGUUCUCGUUAGAUUACCGAAGUCAAGAAUCAUAGGGCGCGGUCAGUACUUGGGUGGGUGGACCACGUGGGAACACCGCGUGCCGUU